GAUCAUGGGCUCAGGAUGAACGCUAGCUACAGGCUUAACACAUGCAAGUCGAGGGGCAGCAUGAACUUAGCUUGCUAAGUUUGAUGGCGACCGGCGCACGGGUGAGUAACACGUAUCCAACCUGCCGAUGACUCGGGGAUAGCCUUUCGAAAGAAAGAUUAAUACCCGAUGGCAUAAUUCUUCCGCAUGGUAGAAUUAUUAAAGAAUUUCGGUCAUCGAUGGGGAUGCGUUCCA
RNAcentral lists this ribosomal RNA (234 nucleotides) under uncultured bacterium. RNAcentral describes it as "partial 16S ribosomal RNA". It matches the Rfam family "Bacterial small subunit ribosomal RNA", at positions 15 to 240 of the family's 1533-position model. The record is from RNAcentral.